UCCUUGAGCUAACUUCACUUACUACAACAAUUACUCUUUAGUAUCUGCAAGAUGUCCAUGAUGGACAACAUUCAAGCAAAGGGGGUGAGAAAUACAUUAAAAUAAAAAAUGGCGCAUAAACAAUCAGAGUAGAUUAAAUACAAUAUAAUUCAAACAUAAUCCAUUAUACAAUGGUUCCAAUUAUGAACCGGGUUCCAUCAG
This 201-nucleotide long non-coding RNA is filed under the name Lathyrus oleraceus (garden pea). RNAcentral describes it as "Pisum sativum (pea) long non-coding RNA (PSAT_LNC007825)". Lineage: Eukaryota; Viridiplantae; Streptophyta; Magnoliopsida; Fabales; Fabaceae. The record is from RNAcentral.